GAGUUGUCUGCCAGGGAAAUCCCAACACAUAUGAUGACGUUUAUGUUACAAGGUAGACAAUCCUUUUUCAUCAUUGACGUGAGGAAAGGUAUCCUAGACGUUGAUCUAGCGUUAUGCACAGCCAUGCUGUAGCCCAGCAAGUAGC
Long non-coding RNA from Etheostoma spectabile (orangethroat darter), 145 nucleotides. RefSeq lists it as uncharacterized. The transcript is spliced from 3 exons. The record is from RefSeq and is a predicted model, not a curated record. Lineage: Eukaryota; Metazoa; Chordata; Actinopteri; Perciformes; Percidae.